RNAcentral lists this ribosomal RNA (492 nucleotides) under uncultured bacterium. RNAcentral describes it as "partial 16S ribosomal RNA". It matches the Rfam family "Bacterial small subunit ribosomal RNA", at positions 29 to 507 of the family's 1533-position model. The record is from RNAcentral.
AGUGAACGCUGGCGGUAGGCCUAACACAUGCCAGUCGAACGGCAGCGCAGUAAGAGCUUGCUCUUACGGGUGGCGAGUGGCGGACGGGUGAGGAAUACAUCGGAAUCUACUUUUUCGUGGGGGAUAACGUAGGGAAACUUACGCUAAUACCGCAUACGACCUACGGGUGAAAGCAGGGGAUCUUCGGACCUUGCGCGAUUGAAUGAGCCGAUGUCGGAUUAGCUAGUUGGCGGGGUAAAGGCCCACCAAGGCGACGAUCCGUAGCUGGUCUGAGAGGAUGAUCAGCCACACUGGAACUGAGACACGGUCCAGACUCCUACGGGAGGCAGCAGUGGGGAAUAUUGGACAAUGGGCGCAAGCCUGAUCCAGCCAUACCGCGUGGGUGAAGAAGGCCUUCGGGUUGUAAAGCCCUUUUGUUGGGAAAGAAAAGCAGCAGGUUAAUACCCCGCUGUUCUGACGGUACCCAAAGAAUAAGCACCGGCUAACUUCGUG